This 434-nucleotide long non-coding RNA is filed under the name Triticum aestivum (bread wheat). Its description in RNAcentral is "long non-coding RNA (TAES_LNC000473)". Lineage: Eukaryota; Viridiplantae; Streptophyta; Magnoliopsida; Poales; Poaceae. The record is from RNAcentral.
UUGCUAUUAUAUGUCAACUUUGCUGUAGGUAGUUGAAUUUUGAUUUAACUCGUCUUCUUUUCCCUUUCUUACUAAAGCAUGGAUAUAGUUAGAACUGACCAGUAGAAUACUUGAGGUAAAGCGCAAAAAAGGCACUCACUUUUUUCUGGAAUUAUUUUAGGCCUUCCGAUGACGUGCGUUCAGCGGGAGGAGAUGUCCCUGUCGACUACGAUGGAGUCUGGCGAUUUUGUCAAUCUAAGAUGAUGUGCUGGCUCAGUCUCUCGGUGGUGCUCAUAAGGAUAUGGGUGUGUGUGUGCGUGCGUUCAUAAGGGUGAGUAUAUGUGUAUGUACGAGUAUAUGUGUAAAAAAACAUAAUCUUUGUUCUUGAUUUUUGAAAAUCCAUCUCUGCACCCGAGCUCAUCUGCACUCGAGCUGACGAAAAAAAUCAAAACAAA